CUAAUAGCAAGAAGUUUGAGUUCAGAAGCAAGGCUGGCUAAUAUCAUGUGGAUGUUUCUUCUUAAGCAUAUUCAUCUGUUUACUGCUAAGAAUUUGAUAUUCUGGCAACUAUCCUUGCACUCAAUGAUGUGGCCUAGUAGUCAAUGAAGUGCAUGAAAAUCAUGAGAUAUCACGGUUGAAAAGCCCUACCAGCUGAAGAAAAAAAAAAGUUAGGUGAUU
RNAcentral lists this long non-coding RNA (219 nucleotides) under Nicotiana benthamiana. RNAcentral describes it as "long non-coding RNA (NBEN_LNC041079)". Lineage: Eukaryota; Viridiplantae; Streptophyta; Magnoliopsida; Solanales; Solanaceae. The record is from RNAcentral.